GGCACAGCGGGGUCACGGAGCCAGGCACAGCCCCCCACCCUGCCUGCCUAGUCAGGGUGCUGGCUGCUUGGAGCAGAGAGGAGCUUCUGGGUGAGAUGGAAACUGAGAGCCUGCCUGGCAAAUGGACACUCGCCACCCCAAGCUGUCUUCCCUCCUGCUGCAAAUGGAUACAGGAGUCUCCUUCCCCUGCUUGUCCUAACCUGCGGUCUGGUCAAACAGCUGCUGCACCCCACCCCAGAGGUGGCUGCAUUUCAGUGAUCCAGUGGCGGUGGACAGCAGUGCUAUCCCUGAUCAGAGGGGACUGGGCUCUGGCACAGCGCCCUGCCCCUCCAAGACCUGCCGGAGCUCAGAGGGAGUAUACUGUUACCUUCAGAGGAUUGGGCUCUCCAGGACAGCCAGUGCCCAGCCAACUGCCCUUUGGAGAACGAGCUUGGGGGUACAUGGCCCUUUAAGGGCUAGCGGGGGCUGCGUCACCCACAGAUGCCUGACCAUGGUCCUGGCCCCAAGUUCUCCUGUGACUUCAGCGUGGCCAGCGAUGGACAAUGCAGUCGCUCCUUGGGCAAUGGGCGUGACUGACUGGCGCCCGGCCGGGCCCCCUCUGCCAGUGCCACCCCAUCACGGUAUCCUUCCUCCCCCCGGCAGCGGCUGGAGGCUGAGGGCAGAUGGACUGGCAGUACGGUGAAGCUCCGUCCCAAAACGCAGCAGGAAGGAGGGUGCUGCCCAACGAUGCAUUUCAGCCAGAUCAGGGGACAGCAAAGUGAGCCAUAGUGCAUGUGCCACCUCUGCUUUGCCAUCUGCUGCACGCUAACAUCUGCCUUUCCACGCUGUGCCCACACAAUGCACUGUGACAACACACGGGUCUUCUGUCUCCUUAAACACACUUGUGCCGUAGCUUGUCGUGCUGCUGCGAAGGUCUGGCGAGCUGUGGAAGGCAUGGAUCUGAACCGUACGGUGAACAGGGCUCCCAGAAUCUUGGGGACUAGGCUGGCUGCUGUGCACAAGGGUGAGCCUGCCCACAGACAGUAAUGGACUGGUACACUUGGGGUCCACAGCACAAACCAGGGGACGAAGCUGCCUGGCUGCCUUUGCUCCAGGAGAGUUCUUGUAAGGCUGUAAUGGCUUUAAGGGAAUUCUCACCCGAAUCUGAACCACUGGCAGGCCAUAUCCACCUCGUCUUUCUACUUAUGAGCUGCCAGGACCAACGCUGAGCAGCUCCCCAGGGGUAAAUAGCCAGAGGGCCUUUGCGCGCUACCUGCUAGCAGGUAGUGCCGGGCCCUGCUUGCAAGCUGCAGCCCCCCUGCUCUCCAAGGAAUCGCGCUCUACAGCCCAGUCCCACUUACCUCCCCGUUUGAAAGGAAAGCUCCCCAGAACACACCUGACACACACUGGGGAGUUUUGAUGACUAUAGGUGGAUAAAAUCCUGCAUUCCAGAAGGUUUAGUUCAGGUUCCCAGAGCCCAUUAGCCAGGCUGGCUGUUCAGAAGGGUGAAUCAGCAGAGAACUAAUACAGGGCUUUCUUUUACCACAGUUAAAAGCCAUUAAAAUGUCAAUUUUAGAUAACUCCGAUAAGGUCGUGUUCUGCUAGUACCUUACUCCACAGGAAGUAGAGUGGGGUUCAAAGAAGGGAGACAAGUAUGAGGGGCCUGGAUAAACUCAGUUGAAGAGAGACAGAAAAGACGGGAGGUGAAAAGAGAGGGGGCGAAUCAGAGGGGACAGGACAGAAGUGGGUGAAUGGAAUACACCAGGUAGACGGGAAUGUUUGUUCUCCCUGUGUCUGAGCACAAGAAUAAAGGGUCAGUUCGGUGACUACGAAAGUGGACAAACUCAAAACGAAGAAAAGGAAAUACACAAAUAUCCGGUGGAACUCACUGCCACUGGAUGCCACUGAGGCCAUAACUUAGCAAGAUUUGAAAAUCAAUCAGACGUUUCUCUGGAUAGUGAGACUGAGUUAUAACAGCUAAUACUAAACCAGAGCCGAGAGUUUUAGAAGGAAUAUUACCACCUCCACUCCCCCGAAGGGACCAUCUAAUCUGGCCCCUGUAUAGCACAGGCCAGAGAACUUCAUCAAGAGAUGAAGACUCCACCACUCGAUGUUAGAAAUGUGUCUCUGUCUCCUUUACUUUGUGCACUGGUGACGGCGCCUUUUGCUCAGAGGAUAUGGAACAACGGAUCCACCACAGGAAUUAAAGGUGCAGGCACACAUCAGGAAACAGCGUUCGAUGCCGAUGAUGUAAUAUUAUUUUUUUCUAAACCAAAUAUUUCCCUAAAAUUCAUUUCUUAGAGAAGUGCAGGACAUUGGGAAAGCCUCUGGAUUUAAAGUCAAUUAUGCCAAAUCUGAAAUGUUACCUAGAAACUUCCAGACUCUGAAAACUCUCUCCUCCCAAAAACAUCUGGAUACAAAAUGGGCAACAAUUUCUGUAAAAUGGGUGAGAAUUCAAAUCUCAGCCUAGAAUUGCUCUAUGAUUUAAAUGGGAAGACAAGGCAUCAGCAAAUGAACAGGGCCCUUGAGUGCUCGGGGAAGCCUGGGAUUUUUGGGUUUGGAAGAAUAGCCACAGUCAGAAAGACUCUUCUGCCAAGGAUAGCUUUCCUCUUUCAAAAUCUCCAUUGUUACCCCAGAUAAAACCCUAGCAGGAACACAAAGGAUGAUGUUAGAAUUUAUAUGGAAUAAAAAAAGACCAGGAAAGAGAGAAGAUGCUUUGUACAAGCCCAUUGAACAGGGGGGCUCACUGUUUCAAAUCUUCUCUGGUACUAUCAAGCUAGCCAGCUCAAAGCAGUACGGGGGGUGCUCUAACCCUGACAAACCCUGGGUCUUUAUGGAACAAGAAAAUUGGAGCGGUGUAAACAUCCCUCGGCUACCACGGAUUGAUAAAAAAAAUCCCAGAAGAAAUUUACACACCUCCUUUAGCAGAGGCAGCUCUGUGGGUUUGGGCUAGAACUAGAGAUCAGGUCAGUUCUUUUCCCUCACCAAUGACACCCACUGAAAAUAAUCUAGAUCUUAACCCAAAUCAGGAACCAGAGAGCUUCAAAGAUUGGGAGAGCCCUGGACUACCAGUGGGUGGCCAGCCAUUUCAAAGACACUUUUCUAACUUAUUUAGAGAUCAAAACUAACUUUAUCUGGCCCACUUCCCCCUGGUACUAUACUUCAAGUCAGGCAUUAGGUUUCCCAGCUCUCUAGAACACCUAGACAGCUGGCUAACUUGAAUAGAAGCCAUGGCGUCUGGGCAGUUAGGAAACACAAAAUUAGAACUAAUUCAAACCAGCCUUUGCAGGUAGCUUUCCUAACAAAAAAAGUGUCCAUAUGUGACCUGCUGGGAAAAGGAUGUGGGGAGACAAAUUACCCCAGAGGCAGGGCCGGCUCUAGGCACCAGCAAACCAAGCGGGUGCUUGGGGCGGCACA
Molecule: non-coding RNA, 3396 nt
Organism: Chelonoidis abingdonii (Abingdon island giant tortoise)
Lineage: Eukaryota; Metazoa; Chordata; Testudines; Testudinidae
Source: RefSeq, a predicted model, not a curated record